Molecule: ribosomal RNA, 468 nt
Filed under: uncultured bacterium
Lineage: Bacteria
Description: partial 16S ribosomal RNA
Rfam family: Bacterial small subunit ribosomal RNA
Source: RNAcentral
GACGAACGCUGGCGGCGUGCUUAACACAUGCAAGUCGAACGGAAAGGCCCUGCUUUUGUGGGGUGCUCGAGUGGCGAACGGGUGAGUAACACGUGAGUAACCUGCCCUUGACUUUGGGAUAACUUCAGGAAACUGGGGCUAAUACCGGAUAGGAGCUCCUGCUGCAUGGUGGGGGUUGGAAAGUUUCGGCGGUUGGGGAUGGACUCGCGGCUUAUCAGCUUGUUGAUGGGGUAGUGGCUUACCAAGGCUUUGACGGGUAGCCGGCCUGAGAGAGUGACCGGCCACAUUGGGACUGAGAUACGGCCCAGACUCCUACGGGAGGCAGCAGUGGGGAAUAUUGCACAAUGGGCGGAAGCCUGAUGCAGCAACGCCGCGUGCGGGAUGACGGCCUUCGGGUUGUAAACCGCUUUCGCCUGUGACGAAGCGUGAGUGACGGUAAUGGGUAAAGAAGCACCGGCUAACUACGUG